This 1501-nucleotide ribosomal RNA is filed under the name Vibrio tapetis. Its description in RNAcentral is "bacterial SSU rRNA". It matches the Rfam family "Bacterial small subunit ribosomal RNA". Lineage: Bacteria; Pseudomonadati; Pseudomonadota; Gammaproteobacteria; Vibrionales; Vibrionaceae. The record is from RNAcentral.
AGAGUUUGAUCCUGGCUCAGAUUGAACGCUGGCGGCAGGCCUAACACAUGCAAGUCGAGCGGAAACGAGAAGUAGCCUGCUACUUCGGCGUCGAGCGGCGGACGGGUGAGUAAUGCCUAGGAAAUUGCCCUGAUGUGGGGGAUAACCAUUGGAAACGAUGGCUAAUACCGCAUAAUGCCUUCGGGCCAAAGAGGGGGACCUUCGGGCCUCUCGCGUCAGGAUAUGCCUAGGUGGGAUUAGCUAGUUGGUGAGGUAUGGCUCACCAAGGCGACGAUCCCUAGCUGGUCUGAGAGGAUGAUCAGCCACACUGGAACUGAGACACGGUCCAGACUCCUACGGGAGGCAGCAGUGGGGAAUAUUGCACAAUGGGCGCAAGCCUGAUGCAGCCAUGCCGCGUGUAUGAAGAAGGCCUUCGGGUUGUAAAGUACUUUCAGCAGUGAGGAAGGGGUGUACGUUAAUAGCGUGCAUCUUUGACGUUAGCUGCAGAAGAAGCACCGGCUAACUCCGUGCCAGAGCCGCGGUAAUACGGAGGGUGCGAGCGUUAAUCGGAAUUACUGGGCGUAAAGCGCAUGCAGGUGGUUCGUUAAGUCAGAUGUGAAAGCCCGGGGCUCAACCUCGGAACUGCAUUUGAAACUGGCGGGCUAGAGUACUGUAGAGGGGGGUAGAAUUUCAGGUGUAGCGGUGAAAUGCGUAGAGAUCUGAAGGAAUACCAGUGGCGAAGGCGGCCCCCUGGACAGAUACUGACACUCAGAUGCGAAAGCGUGGGGAGCAACAGGAUUAGAUACCCUGGUAGUCCACGCCGUAAACGAUGUCUACUUGGAGGUUGUGGCCUUGAGCCGUGGCUUUCGGAGCUAACGCGUUAAGUAGACCGCCUGGGGAGUACGGUCGCAAGAUUAAAACUCAAAUGAAUUGACGGGGGCCCGCACAAGCGGUGGAGCAUGUGGUUUAAUUCGAUGCAACGCGAAGAACCUUACCUACUCUUGACAUCCAGAGAAGCCAGCGGAGACGCAGGUGUGCCUUCGGGAACUCGAGACAGGUGCUGCAUGGCUGUCGUCAGCUCGUGUUGUGAAAUGUUGGGUUAAGUCCCGCAACGAGCGCAACCCUUAUCCUUGUUUGCCAGCGAGUAAUGUCGGGAACUCCAGGGAGACUGCCGGUGAUAAACCGGAGGAAGGUGGGGACGACGUCAAGUCAUCAUGGCCCUUACGAGUAGGGCUACACACGUGCUACAAUGGCGCAUACAGAGGGCAGCCAACCAGCGAUGGUGAGCGAAUCCCAAAAAGUGCGUCGAGUCCGGAUUGGAGUCUGCAACUCGACUCCAUGAAGUCGGAAUCGCUAGUAAUCGUGAAUCAGAAUGUCACGGUGAAUACGUUCCCGGGCCUUGUACACACCGCCCGUCACACCAUGGGAGUGGGCUGCAAAAGAAGUAGGUAGUUUAACCCUUCGGGGAGGACGCUUACCACUUUGUGGUUCAUGACUGGGGUGAAGUCGUAACAAGGUAACC